RNAcentral lists this ribosomal RNA (477 nucleotides) under uncultured bacterium. RNAcentral describes it as "partial 16S ribosomal RNA". It matches the Rfam family "Bacterial small subunit ribosomal RNA", at positions 28 to 507 of the family's 1533-position model. The record is from RNAcentral.
GAUGAACGCUGGCGGCGUGCCUAACACAUGCAAGUCGAACGAAGCACCUUACCUGAUUCUUCGGAUGAAAGUUUGGUGACUGAGUGGCGGACGGGUGAGUAACGCGUGGGUAACCUGCCCUGUACAGGGGGAUAACAGCUGGAAACGGCUGCUAAUACCGCAUAAGCGCACGAGGAGACAUCUCCUUGUGUGAAAAACUCCGGUGGUACAGGAUGGGCCCGCGUCUGAUUAGCUGGUUGGCAGGGUAACGGCCUACCAAGGCAACGAUCAGUAGCCGGUCUGAGAGGAUGAACGGACACAUUGGAACUGAGACACGGUCCAAACUCCUACGGGAGGCAGCAGUGGGGAAUAUUGCAAAAUGGGGGAAACCCUGAUGCAGCAACGCCGCGUGAGUGAAGAAGUAUUUCGGUAUGUAAAGCUCUAUCAGCAGGGAAGAUAAUGACGGUACCUGACUAAGAAGCUCCGGCUAAAUACGUG